UUUUUUUUUUUUUUUGCUUGAGAGCAUUUUCAAUACUCUAAUAUACUUUAAUAUACAAUGUUAAAUCUUAUGUAAUAUACAGGGUGUCUCACAAAUGACCGAACAUAGAAGGGGGUUGAAGUCCGAAGGAUCGCUAUUUGCGCAAGUCCAUUGCGUAGUACAGGCGAGGCGAUGCUCUACUAUAGGGAGGGAAACGGGAGAUGCUUUCUUGCAUGGAGCGCAUCGCUUGUUUUGAUAUCGAUGCUAGAUGUUUCAUGCAUUUAUUCGCACUUACAUAGUGUGAAUAAACGCAUGAAACAUCACUGGCAUCGAUGUCGAUUGUUUGAGGGAGAAUCACAUCUGUUACGAUUUUUGUCAAAUAAUACUGUAAUAAAGUGA
RNAcentral lists this long non-coding RNA (378 nucleotides) under Androctonus crassicauda. Lineage: Eukaryota; Metazoa; Arthropoda; Arachnida; Scorpiones; Buthidae. The record is from RNAcentral.